Molecule: long non-coding RNA, 1226 nt
Organism: Anopheles arabiensis
Lineage: Eukaryota; Metazoa; Arthropoda; Insecta; Diptera; Culicidae
Exons: 3
Source: RefSeq, a predicted model, not a curated record
CAAAUCAGGCCCGCGGUGUAAUCUGCAACACAAAUCGGGGAAGCCUGCACAUCGUCAUACGUCGAGUUGCCAUUACUUUUCUUCCUUCUUGGACGCUACGCGGCGUCGUCGAUUAGUUUUGCAUAACCUUCUUCUCCAUUAUUGAAGCUGGACAACGCCCUUAGCGUGCGGAUAAGUCGAACAGCUCGCGCCAUUGGAUCGGUACAGCACACCACCUCCCUCCGGAAGACGUUUGGAAUCCGGCUCUCCAGCAAGCAGCGGAUACUCAUCAGCAGUGCGAAAAGAAAGCGAUGAAGGCAACGGUAAGAACGCGCGUGCUAUUUCCGACAGCGUAUCAGACAGCUUCUGCAAUUCCACACUUUCUGACAGUCGGUAAGCCCUACACAUAUAUCCCACUCCCUUGAGGCUUUCGGCCUAUGUUGGGAUGUGAGCUGAAGCAGCUGCCGGUAACGUCUGGUGUUUUUGGAGUGUGAAAAGGAUACUCCCGGCACCCUCUAAAGUACCUCCACUUCUAGGCUCUUGUCCCUGUCCGUCCGGAGAACCGAUGCCGUUGUCAUAAUAUGAUCACGCGCAUGGCCCUUGCGGACUACCAGCUAGUACAGCACCACCGCAAAAAGCGCAACAGUGUGUAUUCGAUCUGGGACGGACGGUGUAUUUCGCUUCAUCUCCGAUUUGGAGAUAUUGGUAUGUGUGUGUGAGAGAGAAAGAGCGAACGAGUGCACAAUACAGAACACUCUGCACAGUAGCCACCGAGACCAGCAGGCAACGGAACCUUCCCCGUGUAUCGAUCGAAGCAACCAGCCGGCUCGAUAAAUCUCUAUUUUCUCUCACUCCACCAUCUGGACAGCACAAAACAGAAUCCUGGAGGAGUGUGGUAGCAUGAGCCACAAAAACUCCGGAUGACCGGUACGAAAAAUCGGUCCUCACUCCAGUACCACGAACAGGUUGGACCUGCAACUAUCCACCGGGGUCCGUUGACGAACAGGUUUUCCUUGACCAUCGCCAUCCGUGGGCAUUCCGCGUGUUCAAGUACCCCUCUCGGCGUACGCGCACCAACACACCGUUCAUCUGUUGCGCGUUGGUUGCAUCAGAGUGGCGCCCUCGCUGCACCCAAGCCAAGAUCGUAAAAUGUAAGCCAGGAGCCUUGGCAUUUCUCCCCGAAAUGGGAUUGCUGUGUAGAAGAGGGCACAGGGAGAGAGGUAGAGGUUGGGAGAAAUGAUUUGAAU